RNAcentral lists this ribosomal RNA (888 nucleotides) under Gloeoporellus merulinus. Its description in RNAcentral is "partial large subunit ribosomal RNA". It matches the Rfam family "Eukaryotic large subunit ribosomal RNA", at positions 77 to 949 of the family's 3401-position model. Lineage: Eukaryota; Fungi; Basidiomycota; Agaricomycetes; Polyporales; Incrustoporiaceae. The record is from RNAcentral.
CCCCUAGUAACUGCGAGUGAAGCGGGAAAAGCUCAAAUUUAAAAUCUGGCAGCCUUCGGUUGUCCGAGUUGUAGUCUGGAGAAGUGCUUUCCGCGCUGGACCGUGUACAAGUCUCUUGGAACAGAGCGUCAUAGAGGGUGAGAAUCCCGUCUUUGACACGGACUACCAGUGCUUUGUGAUGCGCUCUCAAAGAGUCGAGUUGUUUGGGAAUGCAGCUCAAAAUGGGUGGUAAAUUCCAUCUAAAGCUAAAUAUUGGCGAGAGACCGAUAGCGAACAAGUACCGUGAGGGAAAGAUGAAAAGCACUUUGGAAAGAGAGUUAAACAGUACGUGAAAUUGCUGAAAGGGAAACACUUGAAGUCAGUCGCGUCUUCUAGAACUCAGCCUUGCUUUUUGCUCGGUGCACUUUCUAGUUUGACGGGCCAGCAUCGAUUUUGACUGUUGGAUAAAGGGUAGAGGAAUGUGGCAUCUUCGGAUGUGUUAUAGCCUCUGCUCACAUACAAUGGUUGGGAUCGAGGAACUCAGCACGCCUUUAUGGUCGGGGUUCGCCCACGUUCGUGCUUAGGAUGCUGGCGUAAUGGCUUUAAAUGACCCGUCUUGAAACACGGACCAAGGAGUCUAACAUGCCUGCGAGUAUUUGGGUGGUAAACCCGAGUGCGCAAUGAAAGUGAAAGUUGAGACCUCUGUCGUGGAGGGCAUCGACGCCCGGAUCAGACCUUCUGUGACGAUUCCGCGGUAGAGCAUGUAUGUUGGGACCCGAAAGAUGGUGAACUAUGCCUGAAUAGGGUGAAGCCAGAGGAAACUCUGGUGGAGGCUCGUAGCGAUUCUGACGUGCAAAUCGAUCGUCAAAUUUGGGUAUAGGGGCGAAAGACUAAUCGAACCAUCUAGUA